AGUGAACGCUGGCGGUAGGCCUAACACAUGCAAGUCGAACGGCAGCACAGUAAGAGCUUGCUCUUACGGGUGGCGAGUGGCGGACGGGUGAGGAAUACAUCGGAAUCUACUUUUUCGUGGGGGAUAACGUAGGGAAACUUACGCUAAUACCGCAUACGACCUACGGGUGAAAGCAGGGGAUAUUCGGACCUUGCGCGAUUGAAUGAGCCGAUGUCGGAUUAGCUAGUUGGCGGGGUAAAGGCUCACCAAGGCGACGAUCCGUAGCUGGUCUGAGAGGAUGAUCAGCCACACUGGAACUGAGACACGGUCCAGACUCCUACGGGAGGCAGCAGUGGGGAAUAUUGGACAAUGGGCGCAAGCCUGAUCCAGCCAUACCGCGUGGGUGAAGAAGGCCUUCGGGUUGUAAAGCCCUUUUGUUGGGAAAGAAAAGCAGCAGGUUAAUACCCCGCUGUUCUGACGGUACCCAAAGAAUAAGCACCGGCUAACUUCGUG
RNAcentral lists this ribosomal RNA (492 nucleotides) under uncultured bacterium. RNAcentral describes it as "partial 16S ribosomal RNA". It matches the Rfam family "Bacterial small subunit ribosomal RNA", at positions 29 to 507 of the family's 1533-position model. The record is from RNAcentral.